ACGGAAGCGCCAUAGGGAAUAAAUAGGGGAGCAGCGCGUUAUCAAGUAUUUAUGCAAGGGAAGCGGAAGGACGUGUUGGAAGUCUCGGUGGUUGUUCAAAAUUAGAUUAGUUAACUAUAAUGAUUUUGGAAGUAUGACUUCUUUUAAUAGUGUCUGUGUUUCUAUGCAUAGGGCUGUUAGCCGACUUGAUUUAGGAUUUGAAAAGAGUUGAGGGGAACCUAGCCACGUGUAUGCAGUAAUGAGGUGACUGUUUUCCACCGCUGCGCGUGCUGACUAAUGGCGCGCGCGCGGCACGUGGCUGGAAGGGGCGCGUGGUGCAGCGUGGCGCGAACUGAGUCAGUGAGGACUCUCCUGCAAGGAGAAGAACCAGAGAAUCUCCAUGACAGUGGCACAAGAUUGGACUCCAAUCCUUUUCAGUGAAAAUAAACUUGAGUACCACAAUGACUGAGUGGUCUUUGACUGGACACCAGUUAUCUGUGCACCUCCUUUGAACCCGUGGAGUCUGCCUGUGACCCCCGGGCAAGCUGUGGUGCGAGAGCAACAGCGGCUUGUUAUAACUGGGGCUCCUUGGUAGUCUGCCCAAGCUGCCCUUUUAAAAACAAGUCACACCAUACCACCUUACAGUAAAACAUAACUUGGGUAUAUAACCAUGAGAUUAAGUUUUAUGUUUUUAACAUGAGUAUGUUAUAGCUGCAUACGUUCACUCCCCCCUUAACAGCUUAGUUUCAGUUAAAGCUUUACUAGAAGUGAGGAGGGAAGAAACUACACUGAUGCUGCAGCUGAGAUUCCCCUUCCUUCUCAGAACAUGUCAAAAAGUAACAUGGAGAAAUUACCUUACUGGCAUAAAUAGUUUUAAAGACACAAAUAAUUCUACAGAGUUUAUACAAUUGGCUGUGGUGAACAAUGGCAAGACAGAAGUAGUAGUGGACAAACAAGGUGGCAUCACCUGAAAAAGAGCCCCUCGUAAAACGGCUAGGGUUUGCAAUAGGGGCUGCGUUCCACUUUUGGUAAAACUGAGAAGCCUCUGUGAAAAGUGCUUGAUACAAAUGAUGCUCCUGCUCAAAGAAGACCUACUCAUACUGGCUGUUAUUUACUCUUUCCUGUCCUUCACUUAACCCUCAUCUGCUUUUUAUAAAAGUAAGCAUGUGCAUUAACUAACCUCUGUGAUGCCUUCAAAGAGCCAACCAUUAAUGAGCAUCUGCUGAAAUACAGUAUUCUGUGUGCAAAAUGGUUUCAUCAGACAUCAUAUGGAAAAAAGCAAAAACAAGGCAAAUUACAGUCCUCUUUAAAUACAUUCACUAGUGGUGCAAUCUUUAAUCUAGCAUGAUUAAAUUAUGGCAAAAACAAACUACCAUUUUAGAACAACUUACUGAUCUCUGACUGUUCCACAAAGGAACAUUUACAAGUUGAAGGCAUAUCUGCCACCAACACAAAAAGAAAUGUGGCAAAAAGAACAAAAAAAAAAAAAUGCUUGUGAAAUUUAAGUGCAACACAUAACUAAAAAAUAUGCACAUUGGUUUCAGAUAAACAAAUUUGUAAUAUGCAACACUGACAACCUUGAGAUCUUCCAGAGAAAUAUUCCACACGGAAAGGACAGAACAAGUAGAGCAUAGAAGUACGAGUUACAUUUUCUGAGCACCGAGACAAUGAGGCAGAGCUAGUGGAAAUGCGCCUGGGAAAAGCAUCCGCAGCCUUGCAAGCGGAAACCUCAGUCGUCUCCAAAGGUCGGAACGGCACAUCCUGGCACUGGGGGACGGGGAUAUAGCAGCACUGUGCUGCAGCCCCUAGAUUCUUGUAAAGUAUUGUUUUCUAGAAAAUGUUUGUCAUUUUAAGAGUUGACAAUAUCACAGUUUGAAGAUGUGUGUAAAAAGGUUAACAUCUAAUUAGGACAUUUCACACCUCAGGAGGAGGAUAUUGCGGCAGUAGUGCAUUGGAACAGGCUUUGUUGUAUUACUGUAGCUGAUUGCCAUGUAAACAUGGCAACAAAAACAACA
Scleropages formosus (Asian bonytongue) is the source of this 1994-nucleotide long non-coding RNA. RefSeq lists it as uncharacterized. The transcript is spliced from 3 exons. NCBI's taxonomy places the organism in Eukaryota, Metazoa, Chordata, Actinopteri, Osteoglossiformes, Osteoglossidae. The record is from RefSeq and is a predicted model, not a curated record.